UAUAGAAUGGGUGCUUUUGUGC
RNAcentral lists this non-coding RNA (22 nucleotides) under Rattus norvegicus (Norway rat). The record is from RNAcentral. Lineage: Eukaryota; Metazoa; Chordata; Mammalia; Rodentia; Muridae.